RNAcentral lists this unclassified non-coding RNA (350 nucleotides) under Hevea brasiliensis (rubber tree). Lineage: Eukaryota; Viridiplantae; Streptophyta; Magnoliopsida; Malpighiales; Euphorbiaceae. The record is from RNAcentral.
GGAUUUCUGGCUGCCCAAAGCUUGGAGUUCUUCCUGAUGGUCAAGUGGCUAUGUUUGGAAUCCAUUUGAGUUUGAUCCAUCAAAACUUCACGUCUCUUCAAAAAUUGAGAAUUUCAGACAUGCCAAACUUGGUGGAGUUGCCAUCAGAAAUAUGUGGACUAACAAAUCUUGGAGAAUUGAGGAUAUCUAAUUGUGCAAGCUUAAGAAUAAUCAGAAUUCAGGAAAUGCAACAGCUCAUUGAAUUGGUCAUUCGAAAUUGUCCAGAUCUUAUGUCCUUAACAAUUCUGAGUCUACCAGUAACACUGGAAAAAUUGCAUAUUUCACGAUGCGGAAAAUUGGAGUUGGAGUUU